Molecule: long non-coding RNA, 1158 nt
Organism: Oreochromis aureus
Lineage: Eukaryota; Metazoa; Chordata; Actinopteri; Cichliformes; Cichlidae
Source: Ensembl
CACACAUGAUGACCAGCCAUUGAUGUUCACCUGAAGGGAAUUCCCAGAGCUGAGGCUGGAGAAGAUAUUCUGCAGGAUCCUGCUGCUCAUCAUCCUCACCUCAUGUGUCUCUGGAUCAUUUGUAGUCAAUGUGACACAGACCUCCUAUCAGGCAGAGGAGAACCACAACAUCACACUGGAGUGGACGUUCACCACCAAACCUGACAGAUCCUCCAAAACUCUCAACAUCCUCUGUGAACUCUUCAUCAGUCAUAAAUCCUCAGUCCUGUAUCAUGUUCAUGAAGGUGUUGAGGUGUCAGAGUCUCAGGAUGCAAAGUUUUCAGGACGAGUCCAGAGUGACAAAGACGCCCUCAGAGAAGGACGAAUCAGACUUCAACUGUCCAGACUCAGGACUGAUGACUCGGGUCUGUACCUGUGUGAGGUCAACACUGAUUAUGGCUUCAGUGUUGGAAGAUGUCGACUUAACGUCACUGCUGUUAGAGAUUGUCCUCAACCUGAGACAUCAAACACAGAAAGUCAAGGAAGGAUCGGAGUUUACUGUGGACUGAUAGCAGCCUUGCUGCUUCUCUGCUGCUUUUCAUUCAUUUACUGCCUGCACAAAAAGGAAGAUUAGUUCUGCAGCAAAAUGUACAGCUCAGCAAAUGAAUCACCAAAAAUAAUUAGAUCAGCAGUGAAAAUGAUAAUACUGGAGUUUAGUUUAAUAACACAGUGCCACAAAAUAAUAGUGUAAUAAUUUAAUUUUACAGGCUUAGGUAUUCAUUGCCACUCGGGCGGUUAAUUUCUUCAUGCCUAAAUUCAACAACCUGCAUGUGUAUAACUCAGGAGCUAGGCAUACAAAGAAAUUCUUGCACACGUCAGUGUCUGCAUUGCGCCUGCUGUUGGAGUUUUACGCUCGCAAUAGAAUCUUGUUUACUCUAAUCAACAGACUUUUGACUGUCUGGAGGGCAGAGCCCAAAGAAACAACACUGUUCUUUUGUUUUUUAAACACUCUGGUAUUGACAAGAACCAUAUGAUUUUCCCAACAAAUAAAACAAUAUGAACAGUAGAAUUUACAUGUCAACACAAAAAUGUUCAGUUAUGCAUGAACUAGAGUAUAAUAAUCACUUUCAUCUUAAAAAAGAAUAUUUAAUAAAUGACUGACAUUUUCCUGCUUUUUAG